AUGCCUGAGGAGAUGCACCAUGUAGAGGAGGAGAUGGAGACUUUUGUCUUUCAGGCAGAAAUUGCCCAACUCGUGUGUCUCAUCAUCAAUAUCUGCUAUUACAACAAAGAGAUUUUCAUCUGGGAGUUGAUCUCUAAUGCUUCUGAUGCCUUGGACAAGAUUUGCUUUGAGAACCUGACAGGACCUUCCUAGUUAGCCAGUGGUAAAGAGCUGAAAAUUGACAUCACCAACCCUCAGGAACACACCCUACUUUGGUGGACGCAGGCAUUGGCGUGACCAAGGCUGAUCUCAUAAAUAAUUUGGGAACUAUUGCCAAGUCUGGUGUUAAAGCAUUUAUGGAGGCUCCUCAGGCCGGUGCAGACAUCUCCAGGCCUGGGCAAUUUGGUGUUGGCUUUUAUGCUGCCUACCUGGAGGCAGAAAAAGUGGUUGUGAUCAUAAAGCACAAUGAUGAUAAACACUAUGCCUGGGAGUCUUAUGCUAGGGGUUUCUUAACUGUAUGUGCUGACCCUGUUGAUCCCAUUGGCAGUGGCACCAAAGUGAUCCUCCACUUUAAAGAAGACUAGACAGAUAGAGUAUUUCUAAGAGAGGCAGGUCAAAGAAACACUCGUAGUUUAUAGGCUAUCCCAUCACCCUUUGUUUGGAGAAGGAACGGGUGGGUGAAAGAAGUCAGUGACGAUAAAGCAGAAAAAAAAGAAAGGUGAGAAAGAAGAGGAUGAUAAAGAUGAGAAAAAGCCCAAGAUUGAAGAUGUGGGUUCAGGUGACGAGGAUAACAGCAGUAAGGAUAAGAAAAAGAAAACCAAGAUCAAUAACAACAAAAAAAUGCAUUGAUCUGGAAUAACUAAACAAGACCAAGCCCAUUUGGAUCAGAAAGCCUAAUGAAAUCACCCAGGAAGAGUAUGGAGAAUUCUAUGAGAGCCUCACAAAUGAUUGGGAAGACCGCUUGCCACUCAAGCACGUCUCUGUAGAGGGUCAGUUGGAAUUCAGGGCACUGCUAUUCAUCCCUCAUCAGGCUGUCUUUGACUUCUCUGAGAAAAAGAGUAGGGCUUUCUUUGACCUCUUUGAGAACAAUAGAGAAAAGAAAAACUUCAACCUCUAUGUCUGGCAUGUGCUAUGACGAGCUGACACCAGAGUAUCUCAGCUUUAUCCGUGGUGUGCAUAUAUAUAUAUAUAUAUAUGACUUUGAAGAUCUGCCCCGAACAUCUCCCAAGAAGUGUUGCAGCAGAGCAGAAUCCUGAAAGUCCACACAAAAACACUCUUGGGAAGUGCCAUGAGCUCUUCUCUGAGCUGGCAGAAGACAAGGAAUGUUAUAAGAAAUUCCAUGAGGAAUUCUCUAAAAAAUCUAAAGGUUGGAAUCCAUGAGGACUCUAUUAACUGGUGAUGCCUGUCUGAGCUGCUGCACUAUCACACCACCCAGUCUGGAGAUGAGAUGACAUCUCUGUCAGAGCAUGCCUCUCACAUGGAGAUGGGAAGUCCAUCUAUGACAUCACUGGCAAGAGCAAAGAGCAGGUGGCCAACUUUGCUUUUGUGGAAUGAGUGAGGAAGAAGGGCUUUGAGGCAGUAUAUAUGACCAAGCUCACUGAUGAGUCCUGCAUGCAGCAGCUCAAUGAGUUUGAUGGAAAGAGCCUGGUCUCAGUUACCUAGUAGGGUCUUAGGCUACCUGAGGAUGGAGAAGAAGAAAAUGGAGGAGAGCAAGGCAGUUUGAGAACCUCUGCAAGCUCCUGGAAGAAAACUUGAAGAAGAAAACUGAGAAAGUGAAAAUCUCCAAUAGUCUGUUUCUUCAUCCUGCAGCUGCAGUCACAGGUGCACUAUGACUGGCACCUACAGCUGAACAGCCAAUAUGAAGUAGCUUGUGAAAGCUCAGACACUUUGAGACAACUCUAUAAUGGGCUACAUGAUGGCCAAAAAGCACCUGGAAAUCAACCUUGACCAACCUAUUGUGGAGACACUGCAGCAGAAGGCUGAGGUGGACAAGGACGACAAAGCUGUCAAAGACCUGGGGGUGCUGCUGUUUGAAACUGUGGGGCUCUCUUCUGGCUUCUCCCCUGAGGAUUCUCAGACCUACUCCAAUAGCAUCUACCAUGAACAAGCUCGGUCUAGCUACAGAUGAAGAUGAAGUGGCAGCAGAGGAAGCCGGUGAUGCUGUUCCUGAUACAAUACUCCCUCCCGACUCGAGGGCGAUUAGGAUGUGUCUUGCAUGGAGGAGGU
This 2205-nucleotide long non-coding RNA is filed under the name Homo sapiens (human). Its description in RNAcentral is "non-protein coding lnc-PPP4R2-8:1". The record is from RNAcentral. Lineage: Eukaryota; Metazoa; Chordata; Mammalia; Primates; Hominidae.